GUGGGGAAUAUUGCACAAUGGGCGAAAGCCUGAUGCAGCAACGCCGCGUGAGGGACGACGGCCUUCGGGUUGUAAACCUCUUUUAGUAGGGAAGAAGCGAAAGUGACGGUACCUGCAGAAAAAGCACCGGCUAACUACGUGCCAGCAGCCGCGGUAAUACGUAGGGUGCAAGCGUUAUCCGGAAUUAUUGGGCGUAAAGAGCUCGUAGGCGGUCUGUCGCGUCUGCUGUGAAAACUGGAGGCUCAACCUCCAGCCUGCAGUGGGUACGGGCAGACUAGAGUGCGGUAGGGGAGAUUGGAAUUCCUGGUGUAGCGGUGGAAUGCGCAGAUAUCAGGAGGAACACCGAUGGCGAAGGCAGAUCUCUGUGCCGUAACUGACGCUGAGGAGCGAAAGCGUGGGGAGCGAACAGGAUUAGAAACCCGAGUAGUCC
This 430-nucleotide ribosomal RNA is filed under the name uncultured bacterium. Its description in RNAcentral is "partial 16S ribosomal RNA". It matches the Rfam family "Bacterial small subunit ribosomal RNA", at positions 354 to 796 of the family's 1533-position model. The record is from RNAcentral.